CGGAGAGAAAACGAUAAGGAUAAGAAUAAAUCAAGUGUUGCAUGGCCUAACAAUUGACAUUGAAUAAAACUAUCAGUAAAAUAUCAAAGAAAACAUUGGCACCAAAAAUUUAUACUAAGAAGAAGAUGCAACAACCAUUAUACAACAAUGUUCACCAAAAUAUAUGGAAGGGAUGCCAGAAAUAGCCAUGCAAAUCAAGGUCCUUCAGUGCAUUAUUACCAGCAAAAACAAACUAUAAUUCUCACUACAAUCUGAAUCACAUAACAAAAGAUCAUUAGCCUGUUCUCCAAACACCGGUCGGUGCUUUUUCACCAUCACCCUGCUUUCGAUUCUGAUUUUGUACUAGCUUUUGCCUCUGAUUUUGAGUCUGGUCUUGCUUCCACAGACUUGGUAUCAGCUGCACAACAC
Molecule: unclassified non-coding RNA, 408 nt
Filed under: Hevea brasiliensis (rubber tree)
Lineage: Eukaryota; Viridiplantae; Streptophyta; Magnoliopsida; Malpighiales; Euphorbiaceae
Source: RNAcentral